RNAcentral lists this transfer RNA (71 nucleotides) under Toxocara canis (dog roundworm). It matches the Rfam family "tRNA". From Rfam's summary of the family: Transfer RNA (tRNA) molecules are approximately 80 nucleotides in length. Their secondary structure includes four short double-helical elements and three loops (D, anti-codon, and T loops). Further hydrogen bonds mediate the characteristic L-shaped molecular structure. tRNAs have two regions of fundamental functional importance: the anti-codon, which is responsible for specific mRNA codon recognition, and the 3' end, to which the tRNAs corresponding amino acid is attached (by aminoacyl-tRNA synthetases). tRNAs cope with the degeneracy of the genetic code in two manners: having more than one tRNA (with a specific anti-codon) for a particular amino acid; and 'wobble' base-pairing, i.e. permitting non-standard base-pairing at the 3rd anti-codon position. The record is from Rfam by way of RNAcentral. Lineage: Eukaryota; Metazoa; Nematoda; Chromadorea; Rhabditida; Toxocaridae.
GCAGCAGUAGCUCAGUGGUAGAGCCCCGCUUCGCGUGCGGGGAGACCUGGGUUCGACCCCGGGCUGCUUCU